GCACAAGCAGUGGAGUAUGUGGUUUAAUUCGACGCAACGCGAAGAACCUUACCAGGUCUUGACAUCCCUUGACGAUGCUGGAAACAGUAUUUCUCUUCGGAGCAAGGAGACAGGUGGUGCAUGGUUGUCGUCAGCUCGUGUCGUGAGAUGUUGGGUUAAGUCCCGCAACGAGCGCAACCCUUAUGGUCAGUUACUACGCAAGAGGACUCUGGCCAGACUGCCGUUGAUAAAA
Molecule: ribosomal RNA, 232 nt
Filed under: uncultured bacterium
Lineage: Bacteria
Description: partial 16S ribosomal RNA
Rfam family: Bacterial small subunit ribosomal RNA
Source: RNAcentral